AAUGUGCAAAGUAAAAUCCUGGGUUAUAGAUCAAAAGAAACCUGUUCGCUUCUAUCAUGAUUGGAAUGACAAAGAGAUUGAAGUGUUGAAUAAACACUUAUUUUUGACUUCAAAACCAAUGGUCUACUUGGUUAAUCUUUCUGAAAAAGACUACAUUAGAAAGAAAAACAAAUGGUUGAUAAAAAUUAAAGAGUGGGUGGACAAGUAUGACCCAGGUGCUUUGGUCAUUCCUUUUAGUGGGGCCUUGGAACUCAAGUUGCAAGAAUUGAGUGCUGAGGAGAGACAGAAGUAUCUGGAAGCGAACAUGACACAAAGUGCUUUGCCAAAGAUCAUUAAGGCUGGGUUUGCAGCACUCCAACUAGAAUACUUUUUCACUGCAGGCCCAGAUGAAGUGCGUGCAUGGACCAUCAGGGUAAGAUUCAUACUUAUUCAUCAGCUAUAUCCAGUUCCACACUAUUGAAUUCAGAUUGAUAUCACUGACUUUGAAGUUUGUCAUGGUGGCGGUUAGCUAGUCAUUACAGAUGAGGUUUUUGUCCAGGAUAACUUUAAUUAUUUGUGAGCUGCUGAACAGUGAAAGUGGAGCGGCAUUGAUUGAGGCAGGUAACAAUUGAUUCUGCCUAUUACAUAGUCUGAAUUUCUUCAUCCUGUAGAAUCUG
Molecule: small RNA, 656 nt
Filed under: Pan troglodytes (chimpanzee)
Lineage: Eukaryota; Metazoa; Chordata; Mammalia; Primates; Hominidae
Description: retained intron
Source: RNAcentral